GCUCUAGUAGCUUAACUAAAAGCACCGGUCUUGUAAUCCGGAGACUGAAGGUUAGAUCCCUUCCUAGCGCC
This 71-nucleotide transfer RNA is filed under the name Wallago attu. Its description in RNAcentral is "tRNA-Thr". It matches the Rfam family "tRNA". Rfam says of the family: Transfer RNA (tRNA) molecules are approximately 80 nucleotides in length. Their secondary structure includes four short double-helical elements and three loops (D, anti-codon, and T loops). The record is from RNAcentral. Lineage: Eukaryota; Metazoa; Chordata; Actinopteri; Siluriformes; Siluridae.